This 460-nucleotide ribosomal RNA is filed under the name uncultured bacterium. RNAcentral's name for it is "partial 16S ribosomal RNA". It matches the Rfam family "Bacterial small subunit ribosomal RNA", at positions 338 to 795 of the family's 1533-position model. The record is from RNAcentral.
CCUACGGGAGACAGCAGUGCGGAAUAUUGGUCAAUGGACGAGAGUCUGAACCAGCCAAGUAGCGUGAAGGAUGACUGCCCUAUGGGUUGUAAACUUCUUUUAUAUGGGAAUAAAAUGUUCCACGUGUGGGUUUUUGUAUGUACCAUAUGAAUAAGGAUCGGCUAACUCCGUGCCAGCAGCCGCGGUAAUACGGAGGAUCCGAGCGUUAUCCGGAUUUAUUGGGUUUAAAGGGAGCGUAGGUGGAUUGUUAAGUCAGUUGUGAAAGUUUGCGGCUCAACCGGAAAAUUGCAGUUGAAACUGGCAGUCUUGAGUACAGUAGAGGUGGGCGGAAUUCGUGGUGUAGCGGUGAAAUGCUUAGAUAUCACGAAGAACUCCGAUUGCGAAGGCAGCUCACUGGACUGCAACUGACACUGAGGCUCGAAAGUGUGGGUAUCAAACAGGAUUAGAUACCCUUGUAGUC